RNAcentral lists this long non-coding RNA (10674 nucleotides) under Sorghum bicolor (sorghum). Its description in RNAcentral is "long non-coding RNA (SBIC_LNC001277)". Lineage: Eukaryota; Viridiplantae; Streptophyta; Magnoliopsida; Poales; Poaceae. The record is from RNAcentral.
AAGCGUCUUACCAGCUCGGCUAUCCCUCGCACACAGUUAGUAAGGCUCUAGCGUAGUUAAGGCAAUUAUCUAUUAAAGUAAGUCACAGAAGUCAAGUUAGAUACAUAGGAGUCCUUUACUCACUCGUUGUCCUCCCACCUAGCUAACUCUACCAUUUACCUUUAGCAUAGGACCUUGGAUUCACCACUACCCUUCCUAUUCAUUAUUUACCACCCUUAUUCACUAGUUGAUACUAGACAACUCAAGGAAUCUCAUUCCCCUUUUUGUUAAACACACUUAGCCGCUUUCCCUUGGGAAAAUAUAAAUUAGGAUACCUUGGAAUACUCCUUGGUGAAGUGCUACAGCGGUACAUUCUGUGCGCUUGCGGAAUUAUCCAAUAGUAAAUAGAGUUACCCUACCAGGGCACUUCUGGCACCGUCGCCGAUAUCCGGUGGUUGCGUUAAGAAGUGUCAACAAGCAUUUCUGGCGCCGUUGCCGGGGAGAGCGUCUGUCUAAGAGUUUUAACAAAAAGAGAAUCCAGAGUUUGCUAGUUAUCAAGUAGUGAUAGGGAUAACCCAUCACUUGUCUUGUCUUCCUUUAUUGUGAAGCCUGACAGUGUAUGAGCGGUUUCCAAUUGCCGUCAAACUUCGUUGAAGAUCCUGAGCAACUGUUGAGGAGAACUAGACGUCGUCAAGUUCCACCUCAAAGGUUCAUCUCGAACCUGAAUCCGUUAGAGGAAGGAGUAUCUGCACCGGUUAUCAAAGAAGCUAUGGCCCAGAAGACCAUCUCUGAGUACUCUGCGCCGUCGGCUGACAAUGUCGCCACGGGUCCGCAGCUUAACUUGGGGGAUGCGACUUUUGAGUUGAAGCCUGCGCUUAUCAAUAUGGUGCAAGCUAAUCCCUUCUGUGGAAAGCCACACGAGGAUGCCAAUGCCCAUCUCCAACACUUCUUGGAGGUGUGCGGCACCUUCACCAUCAAGAAUGUCGCCGCAGACGCCAUCCGUCUUCGCCUCUUCCCAUUCUCGUUAUUGGGGAAGGCGAAGCAAUGGUUCUACGCCAACAAGGGUGAAGUGACCACGUGGGAGAGGUGCACCAAUGCAUUUCUCAAGAAGUUCUUUCCGAUGGGCAAGACCAGCGCCCUUCGUGGAAAGAUUUCCAGCUUCCAACAGCAAGCAGAUGAGACGAUUCCCGAAGCAUGGGAACGUCUGCAGGAGUACAUUCGCGCCUGUCCUCAUCAUGGGAUAGAGGAGUGGCUCCUAAUCCAAGGUUUCUACCAUGGCCUGACCGGUUUGGCCCGUAGUCACCUUGAUGCUGCCGCUGGAGGAGCAUUCUUGCAACACAAUGUCAAGGAUGCCAAGGACCUCAUUGAAAAGAUGGUUAUAAACCAAGGAUGGAAUGAGGAACGCCUCCAACCCAAGAGAAGAGGUGUCCAUGCCUUGAAUGAGGUGGACAUGCUCUCUACUAAGAUGGACCUCUUAAUGAAGAAGAUGGAAGAAAGUUCCAAGCAAGAGACCAUUCAACCUUACGCCACUGCACGGGCCAUUGAAUCUGAUUCAUGGUGCGAAGUGUGCGGAGGAGAUGAUCAUUCGGGAAACAAUUGUCCCGAAACAAAGGAGGAAGUGAGCUUCAUCAACAACAACAACAAUGGGUACCGGCCCCAACAACAGCAAUGGAACUCGCGCCCCUUCUACCAAGGUAAUCAAGGUAAUGGUUACAAUCAAAAUUUCAAUAAUUCUUUUGGUAACCAACCUUCUCUUAGAGAUCUUGUCUUAGGCCAAUCUAAAAUCAAUGAUAGCAUUAACAAGAAAAUGAUGGCUAAUGAUAAGAUCCUUGAAAACUUAAGUGAAAAGUUGGAUAGCUUUAACUCUGCUAUGAAAAAUCAGUUGAGCUUUAACAAAAUGCUAGAAACACAAUUAGCUCAAUUAGCAGCAGCUGUCCCAUCCUUCGAGCAAGGUAAGAUCCCAGGGAAACCUGAGGACCCAAUUGAAGGAGUUAAACUAGUUACUACGAGGUUCGGUAAGCCUCCGGUACAAUCCAACUGGAGCUAUCUUCUGGAUUCGCCCUUCAUCACCAAGAAGGACGACCCAGGCCUGCCGACCAUCACCUGUGAGAUCGGACCGCAAAUCUUCCACAACGCCUUCUGCGACCUUGGAUCGGGUGUCAACAUCAUGGCCAAGGUAACUUAUGAUAAUUUGCUAGGGGGGCCUUUGCACCCCACAUUUGUUCGUUUGCAGAUGGCAGAUCAGACGAUCAGGUUCCCUAAGGGGUUGGCAAGGGACAUACUGGUAAAAGUUCAAGACGACUACGUCCCUGCCGACUUCAUCAUUCUAGAUAUGGGAUCCAAUAAUGAUGUCUCAAUCAUCUUGGGAAGGCCAUUCCUCAACACGGUCAAUGCAGUCAUCUAUGUGGGGUCCGGCCAGAUUCACCUCCAAUUCCCAGGAUGGAAGGUAAAAUGUCCAUUCAAUGGUUAUAAAGCUAACAUGCAGGUGAAGGACAAAGAACCUCCGACUAAGCCUCGCCACAUCCGACGCCGAAGGGACAAGAGAGGUAAGUCGGCCAAAAGGGCCGAAAAGAAAGAAGAGGAACCCGCUGAACCAAAAAUCAAUACCAAGCAAGUAUGGCGGGAGAAAGAGGUGCAAUCAAGGUCCACGUCUCCGGGACCAUCUGAUGCACCCGAAGGAUGAACAAGAUGGAGAGGUCCUGCUCUACGGACCUAAAACAUGGAGCCCUUGCUGAUAAGGUAAAUCAGUAGUUAUCCCAUAUUUAUUUUCUGCAUUUCAAUUUCUACUAUUCACUUUUCAAUUGCAUUCUUACUUUGAAUUUUUCAUAUCUUAUUUCGACAAAAUGUUUAGCCAUAAUAAAUAAAAUCUUGAGAAUAACUUGUCAUAAAAAUUUGAGCUGCUGGAGCUCCCAAAGGGGGGUCGCCCGACCCCACCUUGGGGCCCACUUCACCACAUUUCAACCUUGCUAGUCAUAGAGGUUCCAACCCAGCACUUGGAUGCUCUGGGAGCUCCAAUGUGGGGGUCGGCCGACCCCCAUAUUGGCCCCACUUGCAUCCUGCUGGCCACCAUUUGAAUCACAAUGGAGUCCUAUGCUUGUAACACUAGCUAAAGUUUGAAAAAGAGUGGUCCCUUGAUCCUUUACUUUAGUCAUAAGAUGCUCUUUUCAUCUUUGAUUCUUUUGGGACCACUCCACUAGCUCAAAUUCUGCAAAGUGGUCACCUAGGCAUGCUUGAGUGCUCCCAUAGUCCAUAGGAAUCACUUUAGACAUGUCUCCACUUUUGCCAUUCAUCUUUUACCUUUCACAAAGCACUAAAACAGGGAAUCUCAGAAACAAUUUGAAAACUUUUGGUCCACACCUAGCCUUUACUUUUCCGGACAAUCAAUGACACAAUGUUUAAAGUGGAGGAGGGGCUAGGAUGGGGGUCGGCCGACCCCCAUUUUGGACCAUCUCUGCAAAAUCUUGAAAGCAUGCAGAAUGGUUCCCUGUAUAAAGCUAAACUCAAAUUCAAAGUGCUUCUAGGGGGGGUCGGCCGACCCCUAUAUUGUGGGUCCACUACUUGCCCUUCUCCCCCUAUAAAUACCACAGCAUUGUGAGCUCAACUCCACACCCAAAACCACCAGAACCAUUUCGAGCUCACAAUCCUUUCUCUUCUCUCUUUGUUACAAGCCAUUUCUCAAGUUUAGUUUAGAAAUAGUCAUCAAAACAAAAACCCAAAAAGAUUCCCCUUGCAUAGUAGUAGUAGUAGGAGCUUGGUUUGCCUCACUUGUGUAGGAGGAUGAAGAAGCAUAUCUUCGGCAAGUUCAAGAAAGCAAAGGGUGAGAGCUCUUCUCAAGGCUCUCACCAUGCUCAUGGAAGGGAGGAAGAAGAAGGUUACCAUGGGAUGGUACCCUACGAGCCUCCAUCAAGGAUGAGAGAGCCCGAGAGCGGCCUCAUGUUAAGCCAAGAAGAGUUGCAAAGGUACUACAUCAUCCGAGAGGGUCUCUUCCUACACACUAGCAUCAUCGAUCCGGACCUUUUGGCCCGCACAGGUAUGGAUGUUGAAUUCGAUAAGGUGUUUAGAGCAAUUGGUUGGAGUAGUUUUUUGGCAAGUGCCUGAAUUUGGAAAAGAAUUGCUUGCUAAGGAAUUUCUAUGCACCCUAAAACUCACAAAUAAUGGAAUAUCUUUUCGCAUGUGUGAGCAAGAACAUCAAUUAAAUUGGAGUUUGCUAAACACUGCUUUAGGGUGUGAACAUGAAUGUGAACUUGAUCUAGAUCAUGCCACUAGAAUGUUCGAUAAAUUUAGAUUCUGGAAAGCAAUUUCUGGCUCUAAUGAUUGUUCAAAUCCUACUCCCAUUGAAAUCCAUAAUCCAACCUUGCGCUUUCUUCACUUCUGGAUCAUGUGCACUCUAUAUCCUGGCAUGGGAACUGAUACUUUAAUUGAUGAUGAACUUAAAAUUCUCUAUGCCAUGGUUAGUAAAAUCAAGGUCUCCCCUGUGAAACUGCUAGUGAACUAUUGACUUAACUCUAUUGAGUAUGGGAAGCCCAUCUAUUUCACAUCCUUUAUUACUCGAAUAGCCGAUACUUUUGGAUUACUUGAAUCACAUUAUUUUGAAGACAUUGGCUAUGUUAGAGGAGUGGUAGAUGAGAACUUCUUUAUCAAUGCUAACAUGCUCAUAAGAGAUCCAAAUGGUGAACUUAAAAUGAUUUAUCCGGGCUAUACAACCGAAAUUCCUCUCCCAUGUGCGAGGCGCCGGUUGUAUGGGGUCCGCACACUUACCAUUAGACUAGCCCGAGUGGCAAGUCCAGAUGUUGCAGGGACACGCAGGGUGACAAGAAGGAUGAUGCAAGCCGCCCAGAUGGAGCAAGGAGGAUCCUCGCACCAUGAUGUUGAAGAGGGCGAUGAAGCGAUGUCAGUGGAUGCUUCAGACUCCAUGGGUCUACCUCCACAACGCACUCCACGCCCAAGGGACAGGGCUAGGCGUCACCAGCCCACAGGUAUGGACAGUCUCAUUAAUGACAUGGGCGAAUUGCAGAUUGGGCAAGAAGCAACAUUGCAACUGGCGUUACAAAACGGCCAACAUAUCCGACGUGUGCGAGAGGAAGACGCACAACGCUGGGCCGGAUGGUACCAGAAUUUCCCGCCACCACAGUGAGCGAAGAUCUAGCUUGGGGGAGAUCCUCUCCCCCACUAAGGUAAGUAUUCUAUCCUAUUUAUUUUCAUGCAUUUUAUCAUUCUUACUUAAAAAAAAUAUAAAAAAUAAAAUAAAUAAAUAUUUAUUAGCAUUUCCCUUUAGCAUAUAUGCUUCAUGUAUGUUUAUAUCCCUCAUGGAAAUUAUGACUAGUUGCUUGUUAAUGUUUCUCUAGUGCCUAGUAUACAACUUAGUAUUUCUCUAAGUAUGGAUCACUUAGCUCACUUAAACUGCCAUGAACCUAAAAACUUUGUGGGUUGCAAGUGCUAGAACUAAGUCUAAGUUGUUGUGGGACAUGAGAUAGUAAGACAAGAGCUACUAUAAUAUUUUUCUAAGCAUGCAUGAUUAUCAGAGAUUUAUUCUUAAAAUGAUCAAAACCUUAAUUGUUCCUCAAUGGUGAUGAAUUCCUACCACAGCCAUAUCUACUUUACAUAAUUACAGCCUUUCCACAUAAGCUAUUUGCUUUGGGUUGAGUGUCGUCAAGUCUUGUUGACCCUUGUUAAGAGACUUUUCAUGCUCCUAAGAUCAAGAUCACGUACACACCACAUAUAUAUAUGCUGCUUCUACACUGGAAGUACGCAACCACAUGUAUUUCGCAUCCACUAAAUAGGUUGCUCCAUACUCUAAAUGUUAGAACAUCUCUCUAAGCAUUAUUUGGUAAAUGAGACAUCAAAAGGCUAGGCAAAAUGAAAUAAAAAGAUGGACAUGUGCAAGUCCACAGAAAAAGAAAAUUGAGCACAUGAAAGCUCAUAUAUAAAAAAAAAGAAAAAAAUGCUAGCCAUGUCUCAAUACAUAGAGAGUCUAUCAAAUAAAGGAGCAACCUAGUCCACCAUAUAUCACACUUGCACAUCUUGAUCUGGGAGUAUGACACUUCUCUUCAAGGAUCCGAGCUUUGACUUCGCAAUACAUGCAAAGUAAGUAUGCUAUCUCCUUUCAUCCCUACCUUGAACUCCACAUAAGCCUUUUAGAAAUAGGAUGAAAUAGAGAAGGCAACUCUUACCAUAUGCCUUGGUGAGGAAUCAUACACCAUUUGAGUGACAUGAGAGAACCAUAAGAGGAACAUUUAAGCUUUCUUUUGAAAAUAUCACAAAACCUCUGAUAUGAAACUUGCUAAGAAUGAGAAAGUUAGUGCUCAAGUCAAACUGUUCUGUCUCUCAACCACCUAAGACAAAGGAAAAGCCAUAAGCCCCAUAAGGGACUAAGGUAAUAGGGGUAAGUUUACAUAGCUAAAUUUUUCAUGCAAAGAGAAGAACUUUGUUGUACACAUGGUACUCUUGAAAUGUGAACAUAGUAACAAUACCUGAUCCACCGAGGCUAAGUUUGAUUGUUUGCUCGGGACGAGCAAAGGUUAAGCUUGGGGGAUCUUGUUGACGGUGGAUAUACCAUAGAAAUCCACAUACAAAACACCGUCAACAUGCCUCGGUUGCAAGAGGAAACGACAUGACAUGAACAUAUUUUAUCCAUAACUAGUUCCACUUGUACUCUUAGCUUGUUUAUGCAGGAACAACAAAUUCAAGACAUUAUUUGACAAAGCCAACAUCAGAAUCAUCAAGAGGAGAUCGAGGGGACAACAGGUGACACCCUGGGCCCACAGGGAGGGGGUCGCCCGACCCCUCUUUGGUGGGACCCAGGUGUGCCACCUAGUCCACCGACAUAAGGGACCCCUGUGGACACUGCUGGUGGGCCCAGAGGCCCAGAAGUGGGGUCGCCCGACCCCACAUCAAAGGCGGUUCCAGGGUCGGUGGCCUCCCACCGACCUUCCCCACAUGUCCCACAUGUUGAUUUGCCCCUGCCGUUGAUCAAAUGGCGGUUGUGAGGUCGGUUUGAUCCAAGGGUGGAGAGAAGAUGUCACGCGGAUCGAUGACGUGGCGAUGGAGUAACCCCUACUCCAUCUCCCUCUAUAAAAGGCAGCCUCCAUCCUUCAUUUCAAGUGUGCAAUUCCAAGGCCAAGUGCAUUACAAGUUCCAAGCAUACAAGUAGAGUAGUAGUUAGUCUAGAGUGGGAGUUAGAGUCGAGUCGAGCGAAGCUCGGGGUCUCCGGAGUCGUCUUCUGGAGAGUCUGGUAUAGCUCUUGUACCUUUCUACUUUUGUAAGACUUUCCUUUUAUUAAUAUAUUAUUCUUACUUUACUUUACUGAGUUCUUACUUAGUGCAAGUCUUUUAGUCUUGUUGUGCAUUUACUUUAGUAAUAUAGUUGUCUUAGUGAAGUUAGUGACCUGUAACCACUCCUGUGUGUGCAUCAUCGUCCUAUCUUGUAUAGGAGCUCUAGCUAGCUGCAACUAGUUAGAGUUGUAGGAUUAAGUGUGAGCGUGGUGCUCAUACUUAAGAUUACCUUUGAUUACCGCUGGCUUGAACGGAAAGUAGGAGCGCACUCCCUAGUAGGUGACAGAUCGUGGGCGGCAUUAGGUUCUCCUCACGUACAGGCUAGUUCUUAAAAGGUAAGGCGUCCAUAAGCCCAAUAGUCGCUUUCGGUAAGGGGUUAGGUGAAAAACCUUCUAAGCGUCUUACCAGCUCGGCUAUCCCUCGCACACAGUUAGUAAGGCUCUAGCGUAGUUAAGGCAAUUAUCUAUUAAAGUAAGUCACAGAAGUCAAGUUAGAUACAUAGGAGUCCUUUACUCACUCGUUGUCCUCCCACCUAGCUAACUCUACCAUUUACCUUUAGCAUAGGACCUUGGAUUCACCACUACCCUUCCUAUUCAUUAUUUACCACCCUUAUUCACUAGUUGAUACUAGACAACUCAAGGAAUCUCAUUCCCCUUUUUGUUAAACACACUUAGCCGCUUUCCCUUGGGAAAAUAUAAAUUACGAUACCUUGGAAUACUCCUUGGUGAAGUGCUACAGCGGUACAUUCUGUGCGCUUGCGGAAUUAUCCAAUAGUAAAUAGAGUUACCCUACCAGGGCACUUCUGGCGCCGUCGCCGAUAUCCGGUGGUUGCGUUAAGAAGUGUCAAUAGUUAUUUGUCUUUAUCUUUAAAUUCGGUUUAGAUUUACUAUUAUCGUCAGUUCAUUACUAGUCAUUUGUAAUAAAUGUCUCAAGAUUAAUAAAGAGUAUUAUUAUUAUGUCUUGUAUGUCUCUACUUUAUUUUUGUGCAAGAAAGUAGAAAACAAGUAUGGGGGAGAUCCCUCGACAUGCCAAACACACUUCGACUACACCACUCCACGAUUCAGGUACAUACUCUGCACACUUCACUUUACACAUACAUAUAUCUUGGAUUAUGCAGAAUAUUGUCUCCGACAUGAUAAAUUAAAAAGAUUAAAAUGUUUCUAAUCAUGAUUAAUCUCACUCUGUGAUAUUUUCUGAAAACUUGCAACUAUUGAAAAUCAUUUUAAAACCCUGUGCUGCUUGAGUCACUGUGGAAUGUAAGAUGGUAGAGUAUGAGUACCUUAUUCUUUAUAUCAUUGUUGCUUGGAGAAUUUAUUCAAAAAUUCUAGCUACCAUCCUCAGUGUUUUAUAUGCCUGAUAAACUUGAAAAUAUUAAUUAUGAUAAUUAGGAAAGGCUAUCUACUCUGUAUUGAGUUUGUUCAAAAUGAGUUAGACCCUUGUUGAGAGAUUUAUCAUGCUCCUAAGAUCAAGACAUUUAUUCAGAAAGAUUCACUCUUCCAAAGUAUUAUUGCGUUAGAGGCAUGAGCUAUGCAAAAAUAAGGAUAUUUCGAGGAAAUAAAAAGGAGCAAGUGCUCGAUAACCUUGCAGAAAAAAUGGACAAGUGUCCGGCAGUAGAAUUAGGGGUACCUCGGUAUCCACCUGAAAAAAAAGAAAGAAAAAACAAAGAAGAAAAAUGAUAGCCCAUGGUCCCUCUAAUAAGCAAUAUGCCAGCAAGAGUUGACAAGUUUUAAAUUUCCAAAGUCUUUGAUCUAAGAGUAUGACAUUCCUCUCCUCUGAUCCCGUUUUGAUCAGGCAAUAAAUGCAAAGUAAGUAUGCUCAAGAAUUUUUGCAAAUUAAAACAGCCUCAGUGAGAUAUAAAAGUUAAAUGAGUGACCUGAAAGAACCUAUGAGGAUAAAGGUAGGCUAAAGUUCUUUUCAAAAAAUAUACAAAAACUCCAAGUGACAGGAUUGAGAAGAAAGGACCUCUACUCUUAACCAUAUAUUUCUCUGACCACGGUACACAGUGAAUUUUUACACCCUACAGUAUGAAGAAAAUGUUUUACAAUACUUUACCCCAGAUUUUUUUCUUAACCAUCCUUUUCUCGAGGAUGAGUAAAAGCCUAACUAUGGGGGUAUUUGUUGACGGUUCUUAAGUAUCAAUUUUAAUUAUCAAAUAAACAAGAGAAAGGACCAAUAUGCAAACAACACCUAGAAUUAGGGUUUGAUCUAAUAGAAUUCCACAAGUUUUGUUGUUUAUCUAUUUCUACAGGGGGUUAUCAGGAAAUAAGGAAGAAAGGCCCACAUGUCGGGAUUACAUAGAGAUAUUAACGCACCGCGCAAUUUUCUACCAUCUAGAACACUCCAGAAGCCACGGGAACGAACGGGAAGGCGAUCGGGCCCGGGGGCAGGGCGCCCGCCCUCCCCCUUGGGCGCCCGCCCUGACCUAGAGUCCAAUCAGGACUCUCUUUGGGGAUUACGCUCCACCGACCUAAAGGAUCAAGGAUAACCGUUCAAUCAAUGUCGGUUUGAUCCGACGGCCCACGUUCACCUGAGGGAACUAUAAAACCAGACCCCCUGGCCCCUGGAGGAGGCAAGUUCAUCAUAGAGUUGAGAGGUGCCCUCGAAGGAUAAUCUCUCCUCUAAAUAGACUUUUUGGCUUAGCAUCCAAUGUGAGUAGAAUUAGAUCUUCUAGUUUCUACUAGAUUGAGAGAGAUAGAGUGGAGGUGUAGAUCGGAGGAAGCCCGGCCUGUCGGUGUCUACUCCGAGGUUGUACCUGCGGGAUCAAGUCUUCUAAUCCGAGGCUUGCUCCUUGGAUUCUUCAGUAUUUUGACUUCUAAAUUCUAGUAAGUUCUUGCUUUAUUGUUCUUUGGUUUAUGAGUUUACUUUAAUCUCUUCGCGUAGAGUUUAGAGUAAUCAUCUGUAGCGUAGACGUGGUGUUUGGGCUAGAAUACUCAUAGAUAUCCCCUCACUAGCUGGACCGUGGUAGUAGCGAGGAACGUGAUAUUUCCGAGUUACCUUUGCAGCCCAUAUCCCGUUAGUAGGAUCGAUAGGGUUUAUAGGUGCGGAUCGAACAUCCUCUGUGGUGUCUAGAUUCCGUAAGCUUCCCCAACAGAACAGUAGAUCAUCCUUACCAAGGUUAGAAAGAGACUACGGUUGCAGUCUUCUCUAUAUAUCACUCACAUCGAGAAACAUUCUUUGUAGCCUAAAGGUUAGUAGUAAUAAACUGGGUUAGUCAGAUGCACUCUUUCUCCUAGUAGUAAAAAAUAAAUACGAUACUCUGGAUAACCUCCCGGGUGAAGUGCUCACCGAUAUCCGUGCGCUUGCAGAUCAAUUCCUUAUUGUGUUCCCAAAUAUCAACAAUCAUGUGUUAACUCAACUUAAAUAGGUGGCCUUUGUUAGCUCCUAUGGAGAUGUUGAGGAAGGGAAAAGGGGUGCCACACGCGCG